This 253-nucleotide ribosomal RNA is filed under the name uncultured bacterium. RNAcentral's name for it is "partial 16S ribosomal RNA". It matches the Rfam family "Bacterial small subunit ribosomal RNA", at positions 524 to 776 of the family's 1533-position model. The record is from RNAcentral.
UACGAAGGGGGCUAGCGUUGCUCGGAAUCACUGGGCGUAAAGGGUGCGUAGGCGGGUCUUUAAGUCAGGGGUGAAAUCCUGGAGCUCAACUCCAGAACUGCCUUUGAUACUGAAGAUCUUGAGUUCGGGAGAGGUGAGUGGAACUGCGAGUGUAGAGGUGAAAUUCGUAGAUAUUCGCAAGAACACCAGUGGCGAAGGCGGCUCACUGGCCCGAUACUGACGCUGAGGCGCGAAGGCGUGGGGAGCGAACGGG